UACAGAGGGUGCAAGCGUUGUUCGGAUUUACUGGGCGUAAAGCGCGUGUAGGCGGUGGCGUAAGUCGGGUGUGAAAUCCCUCGGCUUAACCGAGGACGUGCACCCGAUACUGUGCCACUUGAGUACCGGAGGGGAUGGCGGAAUUCCCGGUGUAGAGGUGAAAUUCGUAGAUAUCGGGAGGAACACCUGUGGCGAAGGCGGCCAUCUGGACGGUAACUGACGCUGAGACGCGAAAGCGUGGGUAGCAAACAGG
Molecule: ribosomal RNA, 253 nt
Filed under: uncultured bacterium
Lineage: Bacteria
Description: partial 16S ribosomal RNA
Rfam family: Bacterial small subunit ribosomal RNA
Source: RNAcentral